Molecule: long non-coding RNA, 924 nt
Organism: Rhipicephalus sanguineus (brown dog tick)
Lineage: Eukaryota; Metazoa; Arthropoda; Arachnida; Ixodida; Ixodidae
Exons: 3
Source: RefSeq, a predicted model, not a curated record
CGUAUGCGUUGGUUCUCGGGUGUCGGAUCGUCAAAAGGAGCUUCUGCUGGCUUUUGUGAAAGAGCACCCACAGAUCGCGACGCUGUCGUGCCCGCUGGAGCCGUCUUUCACGAGGGAGGACCGGGACGACAUGUGGCAGGAGCUAGUAGCGCUUUUGAACGAAGAAGUCCCUGCGCGUAACACCAGGGCCCAGUGGCAGGCCCGAUGGAGGGCAGCAGAGCGGCACCCGAGGCGGCCAGAUUUCGGAUUACCGCGGCCGCGUCGUGCUUGACAGGGACGAGUGUGCGAGGCCCAUAGUUCGUGUGGUCUGAAUCGGUAAGCACUGGCUUAGAAUAUCAUUGUUACUUGUAUGCUGCGAACAAGUGGGCUCGUUUGCUUCGAGCCAUUACGCGCUGUUAGUUUUACUUUUUCAAACAAUAUCGAGUGGAUCACCCGGCCGCCGCGUUAGCUGAGGUGCUAACACGUUGCGCCGCCCAGAACAGAAUGCGAAACAGCCACAUUUGCGGUGAUGACGAAAGAACAGCCGCGAACUAUAUUUCGAAGCUCAUUAGAGCACCCUACGUGUUCCAACCCAUUUCUCAGACCCUCGAGUCGAGUGAGGUGCGUAGCCAGUAGGCUUGCCUCCCUCCACCCCUCUCUCCGAAGUCUGUGUGUCAUAGCAUGCCGCUGUUGAAACAUUCUAAAAAAACAUUGCUAUUGUCCACUUCCAUUCCAUACUUCUUAUUGCACUCAGUGUGUCAAUCAAGAAACUUCUUACUAUAACAGGUGAGCCCUGCUCCAGCUGCUACUGGUGUGGCUGAAGAGGAUGUGGCCCAGGAUCUUUCCCGUGCCCCAACUCCUCAUGCCGCAGCUGCGAGAUGGGGGCAACCGGCAGGCCGAGGCGCUGGAGUUACUAGCCGCAAACACCAGGCGGCAGGGCCAGGC